UAUGAUCACCGAAGUUAAGCAAAGUUGAGCCUGGUCAGUACCUAGAUGAGUGACCACUUGGGAAUACAAGGUGUUGUAA
Acanthosepion pharaonis is the source of this 79-nucleotide non-coding RNA. Lineage: Eukaryota; Metazoa; Mollusca; Cephalopoda; Sepiida; Sepiidae. The record is from the annotation of a GenBank genome assembly.